UACGGGGGGGGCAAGCGUUGUUCGGAAUUACUGGGCGUAAAGGGCUCGUAGGUGGCUUGCUAAGUCAGACGUGAAAUCCCUCAGCUUAACUGGGGAACUGCGUCUGAGACUGGUGAGCUUGAGUGCAGGAGAGGAACGCGGAAUUCCAGGUGUAGCGGUGAAAUGCGUAGAUAUCUGGAGGAACACCGGUGGCGAAGGCGGCGUUCUGGACUGCUACUGACACUGAGGAACGAAAGCCAGGGGAGCAAACGGG
RNAcentral lists this ribosomal RNA (253 nucleotides) under uncultured bacterium. RNAcentral's name for it is "partial 16S ribosomal RNA". It matches the Rfam family "Bacterial small subunit ribosomal RNA", at positions 524 to 776 of the family's 1533-position model. The record is from RNAcentral.